This 67-nucleotide transfer RNA is filed under the name Oxylipeurus chiniri. Its description in RNAcentral is "tRNA-Gln". The record is from RNAcentral. Lineage: Eukaryota; Metazoa; Arthropoda; Insecta; Psocodea; Philopteridae.
UGAAAGAUAAGUUAUUCAAACUUUGAAUUUUGAGUUCAAAAAAAGUAAUUUAUUUUACUUCUUUCAA